AAAUUCAAACUCAAAGACCUUAC
Molecule: small nuclear RNA, 23 nt
Filed under: Arabidopsis thaliana (thale cress)
Lineage: Eukaryota; Viridiplantae; Streptophyta; Magnoliopsida; Brassicales; Brassicaceae
Description: snRNA_05550
Source: RNAcentral